This 460-nucleotide ribosomal RNA is filed under the name uncultured bacterium. RNAcentral describes it as "partial 16S ribosomal RNA". It matches the Rfam family "Bacterial small subunit ribosomal RNA", at positions 338 to 795 of the family's 1533-position model. The record is from RNAcentral.
CCUACGGGGUGCAGCAGUGAGGAAUAUUGGUCAAUGGACGAGAGUCUGAACCAGCCAAGUCGCGUGAAGGAUGACGGCCCUAUGGGUUGUAAACUUCUUUUAUAUGGGAAUAAAACGUUCCAAGUGUGGGAUUUUGUAUGUACCAUAUGAAUAAGGAUCGGCUAACUCCGUGCCAGCAGCCGCGGUAAUACGGAGGAUCCGAGCGUUAUCCGGAUUUAUUGGGUUUAAAGGGAGCGUAGGUGGUUUGUUAAGUCAGUUGUGAAAGUUUGCGGCUCAACCGUAAAAUUGCAGUUGAUACUGGAAGCCUUGAGUAUAGUAGAGGUAGGCGGAAUGCGUGGUGUAGCGGUGAAAUGCUUAGAUAUCACGAAGAACUCCGAUUGCGAAGGCAGCCUGCUGGACUGUAACUGACGCUGAUGCUCGAAAGCGUGGGUAUCAAACAGGAUUAGAUACCCCAGUAGUC